CAAAUUUGAAAUCUGGCGCAAGCCCGAGUUGUAAUUUGUAGAGGAUGCUUCUGGGCAGCGGCCGGUCUAAGUUCCUUGGAACAGGACGUCAUAGAGGGUGAGAAUCCCGUAUGUGACCGGCUGGCACCCUCCACGUAGCUCCUUCGACGAGUCGAGUUGUUUGGGAAUGCAGCUCUAAAUGGGAGGUAAAUUUCUUCUAAAGCUAAAUACCGGCCAGAGACCGAUAGCGCACAAGUAGAGUGAUCGAAAGAUGAAAAGCACUUUGGAAAGAGAGUUAAAAAGCACGUGAAAUUGUUGAAAGGGAAGCGCUUGCGACCAGACUUGUCGGCGGUGUUCCGCCGGUCUUCUGACCGGUCUACUCGCCGUCGGCAGGCCAGCAUCAUCUGGGGCCGCCGGAGAAAGGCUUGGGGAAUGUAGCUCCUCUCGGGGAGUGUUAUAGCCCUUUGCACAAUACGGCGCGCCCC
RNAcentral lists this ribosomal RNA (464 nucleotides) under Neodevriesia cladophorae. RNAcentral's name for it is "partial large subunit ribosomal RNA". It matches the Rfam family "Eukaryotic large subunit ribosomal RNA", at positions 110 to 586 of the family's 3401-position model. The record is from RNAcentral. Lineage: Eukaryota; Fungi; Ascomycota; Dothideomycetes; Mycosphaerellales; Neodevriesiaceae.